RNAcentral lists this long non-coding RNA (892 nucleotides) under Citrus sinensis (sweet orange). RNAcentral describes it as "long non-coding RNA (CSIN_LNC003655)". The record is from RNAcentral. Lineage: Eukaryota; Viridiplantae; Streptophyta; Magnoliopsida; Sapindales; Rutaceae.
GAAUUUAAAAGACACAAUUUCCGUAUCCGUUAUAACUUUCGAAUGUCUGGGGUGGUAAACAAGACUCUGCAAUAUAUCUUUUCUUCAAUGGUAAAUCAAUCUUGUUAUAGAAACAUCUUUCAUCAGUCAAAUCCUCCCUAGAACAAAACAGCUUGGCUCUACGGCUUUCAAGGCUUUCGAACUUUGUGGUGUGCUGCCAUGUAAAAGUAGCAACAUGAUCAAUUUUAGCAAUCCUAUUUGUUAGAGUGGAGGGCUGAAGUACCUUCUGAGGCAAUGAACUCCGGAAAGUCUCAGCUGUGCAUUACUAUUGAUGCCUGAAAAUAUUUCCAAUGACAUAUGAUAAAUGGGAGCUUUUUCCAGCUGGUAUCCAGUUGCUUGGUACUUGCAACUCAUACGAUCAAUCUUUCUCAGUCAGAGAAGUUUUGAAUUAUAGCGUUUGUCACCUGUUCUAAUAAACUUGACAAACAAUUUUCAAGGCUCAAAAGAAAGGAGAAGUUCAGAAACACAAGACAAGGUUAUUGGUACUAAAUAUUAUGGUAACGGUGGCCAGAGCCAUUUUGCUUCUGGGCAGGCAUCAGCAUUUGUUUCUUGCAAAGACGAGAGAUUACUCAAGCCAAGAGGUACCUUCUAAUUAUAAGUACUUCUCUGUUGUGGGCAAAUACGGGCUAGUUGGAACAUAGUAAGUACGCUGCCUGCUUGUUAUUCAUCAUGACACGUUUACAAUACUUUACAUCAUUUAGAAAUUGGAGUCUCUGUACUCUCCGCGAAUAUGUAAGAAAGUGUAUGUACUGCUAGCUUCGUGAAGGCGUGAAAUAUAAUGUAUAUAUGGUUAUGGAGUUCUUCUUUUACAAAUCCUAGUUGGCAAAAGAUCUUCAUGCUAUUAUCAAUGGCC